AGGCUGAAACUCGCCUAUAUGAAGUCGGAAUUGCUAGUAAUCGCGGAUCAGCAUGCCGCGGUGAAUACGUUCCCGGGCCUUGUACACACCGCCCGUCACACCAUGAGAGUCGAUAACACCCGAAGCCUGUAGUCUAACCAUAUGGGGGACGCAGUCGAAGGUGGGAUUGAUAAUUAGGGUGAAGUCGUAACAAGGUAGC
RNAcentral lists this ribosomal RNA (199 nucleotides) under uncultured bacterium. RNAcentral's name for it is "partial 16S ribosomal RNA". It matches the Rfam family "Bacterial small subunit ribosomal RNA", at positions 1302 to 1500 of the family's 1533-position model. The record is from RNAcentral.